This 541-nucleotide ribosomal RNA is filed under the name uncultured bacterium. RNAcentral's name for it is "bacterial SSU rRNA". It matches the Rfam family "Bacterial small subunit ribosomal RNA", at positions 28 to 615 of the family's 1533-position model. The record is from RNAcentral.
AGCGAACGCUGGCGGCAGGCCUAACACAUGCAAGUCGAACGAACCCUUCGGGGUUAGUGGCGGACGGGUGAGUAACACGUGGGAACGUGCCCUUUGGUUCGGAAUAACUCGGGGAAACCCGAGCUAAUACCGAAUGAGCCCUACGGGGGAAAGAUUUAUCGCCGAAGGAGCGGCCCGCGUCUGAUUAGGUAGUUGGUGGGGUAAAGGCCCACCAAGCCUACGAUCAGUAGCUGGUCUGAGAGGAUGACCAGCCACAUUGGGACUGAGACACGGCCCAAACUCCUACGGGAGGCAGCAGUGGGGAAUCUUGCGCAAUGGGCGAAAGCCUGACGCAGCCAUGCCGCGUGAAUGAUGAAGGUCUUAGGAUUGUAAAAUUCUUUCACCGGGGACGAUAAUGACGGUACCCGGAGAAGAAGCCCCGGCUAACUUCGUGCCAGCAGCCGCGGUAAUACGAAGGGGGCUAGCGUUGCUCGGAAUUACUGGGCGUAAAGGGCGCGUAGGCGGACAGUUUAGUCAGGGGUGAAAUCCCAGGGCUCAACCC